GCAUGGGGUGAGUUUGGGGCUUGGACAUAGUUAGUAUUAAUGUAGUAUUUUUGUUAGUUUAGAUUUCAACAGUAACAUGGACUGGUAACAUUAAAAAUUUGCAUGGUUUGUUUACAUUUAACAAUUGUAUUAUUUUACAAUAGAUUUUGCAAUUUUGACUAACAUUGUUGUUUGAUUUAGUUCUUUUCAGGUACCCCCGCAGGAAGGACGGGAGCGCCGAGUCGUUGGAAUCCUCAGGAGUCAUCACGGGUAAGCGCAUGUAGUGUGUUCGCUGUGAUUUGUUGUGGCCGCUGGAAGAGCGCCGCUUGCAACAUGCUUGUCCCGGCCGGUGUUGCAAGCAAUUGCAUGAGUUUUGAAGAAGCUAGAUCCCGCGCAGCCGUCAUUGAAAUGUCUUGGAGCUGCUGGCAACAUGGUGGUGGAAUCGAAGGUUGCACGGAGCGCCGCGUCUUGUGGCCACUGCGUCGGGAUUGGCAGCUAGGAGCCUCUAGAUCAGGAAUUGUUGCCGAGGACCGCCGCAACGAGAGAGGUCAUGGUAUUUCAGGAUGUUCCGGGUCCGGAAUUGUUGCCGAGGACCGUCGCAACGAUUGGGGCCAUGGAAAUGGAUGUAAAGUUAAAUUUUAGGUGCCUAGGCUGGACGAUAUUUGGAGAUAUGUUUUUCAGGUAGGCUAUUCUGAAGGUACAUUUGUAGCAGCUAAUAUUAAGGCCGUCGUAGCUGGGAUGCCGUGGUUUUGGGUUCUUCAAGUUUGCGAUUAAUCUUGAGAUACAUUUGUAGCAGCUAAUAUUAAGGCCGUCGUAGCUGGGAUGCCGUGGUUUUGAGUUCUUCAAGUUGACAAUUAGAUAAGUAUUAAGUUUACACAUAUAUUUCCCUGGAAGGAAGUUUGUAAGAGCAGCAAAGUAUCCUGAUCGACGCGGAGGCAGCUUAGAUGGCCCGUAUUUUGCGGUGCAGCGAUGUGUGAAGAUUGCAGCGGUGUUGAAGGAUUAUUCAAAGGACUGUGCGGCAAGAAAAUUCAGGAUUUGAUUUUAUUCGCAUCGCAUCGUCAGGGUCAGCUGGAGUGCAUUGUCGUUGGCUUUUUAAUCCGGAUGCGUUGAGGAUUUUACGUUUAGCAUGAAGGAGGGAUGCUAACUAUGGAGAAGAAGAUAUGUAUCACUGUUGUCAAGAGAGAAGCAGGUCGACGUGCGUCUUUCCGUCUGUCACAGUUUGUAGUUUGUAUAUUAAUUAAUUAGGAAUUAAUUAAUAUACAUGUAUUUUUGGUUUUAA
Long non-coding RNA from Drosophila mauritiana, 1258 nucleotides. RefSeq lists it as uncharacterized. The record is from RefSeq and is a predicted model, not a curated record. NCBI's taxonomy places the organism in Eukaryota, Metazoa, Arthropoda, Insecta, Diptera, Drosophilidae. The transcript has 7 exons.